AGGGAUCUACCCUGACUACCCGUGCCAACCUUUGGCCCCUUGGGCCUUUCUUUUUCGCAUCCUCCAAAGAAAGUUUCUCUACAAUAAUUGGAGUUGGUGUUGGAGCUGGAGCCUACAUCCUGGCGAGAUAUGCUGUAAGAAAUAAAAAGCCCAGAUGAGGGAAAGGAGGGUCCAGAUUGAUUAGAAUACUGUUUAUUAGUGCUGUUUGGGGGAGGAAGUGGGCACUAGGUGGGGAGUCAGGCCCUGUGGGAGUCCAGGAGUGGGUAGAACUUAGCGGGGAGGGGAUAAGGCCAUGCCCUGUUUCUCAUUUCCUUCUUUCUGCUGUUCCUCAGCUUAACCACCCGGACACUGUUGAAGGUCUUGUCCUCAUCAACAUCGAUCCCAAUGCCAAGGGUUGGAUGGAUUGGGCAGCCCACAAGGUUUGGAGGGGCGUGUGUGCUGAGACCUAGGGUUGGGGAUCCCCUCGUAUGGAUCCAGUUAGGCUGUCUACCAGAGCCUAACUGGAUGGACUCCGAACUUCAAGGAGGGAGUAAAGGGGCAGGAAAGUGAAGC
This 552-nucleotide small RNA is filed under the name Pongo abelii (Sumatran orangutan). RNAcentral describes it as "retained intron". Lineage: Eukaryota; Metazoa; Chordata; Mammalia; Primates; Hominidae. The record is from RNAcentral.